This 465-nucleotide ribosomal RNA is filed under the name uncultured bacterium. Its description in RNAcentral is "partial 16S ribosomal RNA". It matches the Rfam family "Bacterial small subunit ribosomal RNA", at positions 28 to 507 of the family's 1533-position model. The record is from RNAcentral.
GACGAACGCUGGCGGCGUGCUUAACACAUGCAAGUCGAACGGAAAGGCCCUGCUUGCAGGGUACUCGAGUGGCGAACGGGUGAGUAACACGUGGGUGAUCUGCCCUGCACUUCGGGAUAAGCCUGGGAAACUGGGUCUAAUACCGGAUAGGAGCCAUUUUUAGUGUGAUGGUUGGAAAGUUUUUUCGGUGUAGGAUGAGCUCGCGGCCUAUCAGCUUGUUGGUGGGGUAAUGGCCUACCAAGGCGGCGACGGGUAGCCGGCCUGAGAGGGUGGACGGCCAUAUUGGGACUGAGAUACGGCCCAGACUCCUACGGGAGGCAGCAGUGGGGAAGAUUGCACAAUGGGCGCAAGCCUGAUGCAGCGACGCCGCGGGGGGGAUGACGGCCUUCGGGUUGUAAACUCCUUUCGCUAGGGACGAAGCUUUUUGUGACGGUACCUAGAGAAGAAGCACCGGCUAACUACGUG